CUUGCCCCUCGAGGCGUUGCAGCUCAACCCUUAGUGUUGCAGCUGUGUCAUGAGGCGGCAGAGAGCGAGCACU
This is a small nucleolar RNA of Synchiropus splendidus (mandarinfish), 73 nucleotides long. RefSeq annotates it as small nucleolar RNA SNORA17. The transcript has a single exon. NCBI's taxonomy places the organism in Eukaryota, Metazoa, Chordata, Actinopteri, Syngnathiformes, Callionymidae. The record is from RefSeq and is a predicted model, not a curated record.